Molecule: transfer RNA, 73 nt
Filed under: Argiope bruennichi
Lineage: Eukaryota; Metazoa; Arthropoda; Arachnida; Araneae; Araneidae
Also listed under: 1 other name
Description: transfer RNA tyrosine (anticodon GUA)
Rfam family: tRNA
About the family: Transfer RNA (tRNA) molecules are approximately 80 nucleotides in length.
Source: RNAcentral
CCGUCGAUAGCUCAGUUGGCAGAGCGGUGGACUGUAGAUCCAUAGGUCGCUGGUUCGACUCCGGCUCAACGGA